This 253-nucleotide ribosomal RNA is filed under the name uncultured bacterium. RNAcentral describes it as "partial 16S ribosomal RNA". It matches the Rfam family "Bacterial small subunit ribosomal RNA", at positions 524 to 776 of the family's 1533-position model. The record is from RNAcentral.
UACGAGGGGUCCUAGCGUUGUUCGGAAUCAUUGGGCGUAAAGGGAGUGUAGGUGGCCAUUCAAGUCAGUUGUGAAAUCCCCGGGCUCAACCCGGGAAGUGCUUCUGAUACUGUUUGGCUUGAGUACUGGAGAGGAUAGUAGAAUUCCUGGUGUAGUGGUGAAAUACGUAGAUAUCAGGAGGAAUACCGGUGGCGAAGGCGGCUAUCUGGCCAUGUACUGACGCUGAAACUCGAAAGCGUGGGGAGCAAACAGG